AGAGUUUGAUCAUGGCUCAGAUUGAGCGCUGGCGGCAUGCUUUACACAUGCAAGUCGAACGGCAGCACAGGGAGCUUGCUCCCGGGUGGCGAGUGGCGCACGGGUGAGUAAUACAUCGGAACGUGUCCUAUUGUGGGGGAUAACUGCUCGAAAGGGUGGCUAAUACCGCAUGAGACCUGAGGGUGAAAGCGGGGGAUCGCAAGACCUCGCGCAAUUGGAGCGGCCGAUGCCCGAUUAGCUAGUUGGUGAGGUAAAGGCUCACCAAGGCGACGAUCGGUAGCUGGUCUGAGAGGACGACCAGCCACACUGGGACUGAGACACGGCCCAGACUCCGUACGGGUGGCA
Molecule: ribosomal RNA, 345 nt
Filed under: uncultured bacterium
Lineage: Bacteria
Description: bacterial SSU rRNA
Rfam family: Bacterial small subunit ribosomal RNA
Source: RNAcentral